Molecule: non-coding RNA, 1095 nt
Organism: Carica papaya (papaya)
Lineage: Eukaryota; Viridiplantae; Streptophyta; Magnoliopsida; Brassicales; Caricaceae
Source: RefSeq, a predicted model, not a curated record
AUAUUCCAGUCCCUUCUUUUCAAAUUCUAUCCUAGGCGGUUAACGUCCCCGAUCGCCGACGACCGGAAACCUACUCAAAGCUCAAGAUCAAGCUCAAGCUCGGGGUUCAUGUCUUCCCUCGAGCCUUCAGUGCCCAAUCAAUUAAGCAACAACCGUGAUUAUCCUGCAGGCCCCUUCUCAGCUUGUUCAUAUGAUCCUAAUAUGUGUCUCAUGAAGUGAGGCAACUUCGCAAUUGGUGAAACUAAAAUGGCUACAACUUUACAUGUUGGUGUCAUAAGGGACAUAUAUCAGUUGUAUGCUCCAAUUCAGUAAAUCUUUAAAAUGAUAAGUUUACUCUGCAAAACAAAAUGGCUCACCCUCAUGAGGCUUCCUGCUGUUGUCUCCAAACAGAACUGUUAUAUUAUCCAGUUCCAACCUCCCAUUAGAUCAAUUUGUAAAGUCCUAUCCCCCCCAAGCCAUCCCUACUCUUUCACCAUAUCUGAUAUUAUAGAAAGACCCCGUAGGUUUCCCAUCCCUGAAUCAGUAAUUGCUAGAUUUCAAUCCUCAAAGAAUCCUAAAUUGGUCCUGAAAUUACUCCAGGAUCAUAACUUUUCUGAAAGUCAGGUUAAAGUCCUUGUCUCACGGUGACCACUCGUCCUGUUAGCCAAACCGGAUAAAACUUUACAACCCAAAAUUGAUUUUCUCGUAUCGGUGGGAUUAUCACGACAAGAUAUUGUCAAAAUAAUCAUUCGUGAACCUUUUGUGCUUGCUAGAAGCCUGAAAGGACAUAUUAUCCCUGUAUUUGAUUUCCUUGAAAAUCUAUUUGGCAGCAAAGAAGAUGCAGCUAUAGUUUUUAAAAGGUGCCCAUUAAUCAGCCGCUACACUGUUAAAAAUUACUUGGCAUUGAAUAUUGCAACCUUGCGCGAUGUUGGUGUACCUGAUUCCCGGAUUUCAAAAUUGGCCAUCCGUUGUCCUUUUAUGAUUAUGACACAACCACAUCGUUUAAAGGCUGCUGCAGCUGCUGUUAAAGAACUGGGGCUCAAUCCAAAGUUGUCCGUCUUUGGCAUUGCAGUUACUAUAAUGGGCUGGUCUAGCAGGUCAAACUGGGAAGCAAAA